RNA transcript from Rhododendron vialii, 2182 nucleotides. It is a transcript of the gene named DNA-(apurinic or apyrimidinic site) endonuclease 2, with no coding region annotated. Lineage: Eukaryota; Viridiplantae; Streptophyta; Magnoliopsida; Ericales; Ericaceae. The record is from RefSeq and is a predicted model, not a curated record. The transcript has 10 exons.
AUGAAGAUAGUGACGUACAACGUCAACGGCCUCAGGCCUCGGGUCUCGCAGUUCGGUUCUCUCCUCAAAUUACUCGACUCUCUCGAUGCCGAUAUCAUCUGUUUACAGGAGACCAAGAUAUCUAGACAGGACCUAACGGCGGAUUUGCUUGUGGCCGACGGCUAUGAGUGCUUCUUUUCCUGCACCCGCACCACCGAUAAAGGACGCAUCAGCUACUCCGGCGUUGCAACAUUUUGUCGCGUAAAGUCAGCAUUUUCAAGCAAUGAAGUGGCUUUACCCCUUGCAGCCGAGGAGGGCUUUACUGGGGUUCUUGAAAGUUCAAAAGGGUUGAGAAGGAGAGAAGAUGAAGGACCGGCAAAAGCAGGGGGCCUUGAGGAAUUCUCAAAGGAAGAGCUUCUUAAGAUUGAUAGUGAGGGGCGAUGUGUCAUAACAGACCAUGGCCAUUUUGGGAAUUUGACAGUGCUUUUUAACAUCUAUGGACCACGAGCAGUCUCUGAUGAUAGGGAGAGGAUUCAGUUUAAGCACACCUUUUUUAUGAUGUUACAGAAAAGAUGGAGUUUUCUUUUGCAUCAAGGACGAAGAAUAUUCAUAGUUGGUGAUCUUAAUAUUGCUCCUGCUGCUAUGGAUAGCUGUAAUCCGGGGCCAGACUUUGAUAAGAACCAUGCACUGCCUUGCAGGUUCAGGAGGUGGUUUAGAUCCUUACUUGUUGAAAAUGGUGGCGAUUUCUUUGAUGUUUUCAGAGCAAAGCAUCCUGAGAGGACGGAAGCAUUCACUCACUGGCCGCAGAACACGGGGGCUGAAGAAUUCAAUUAUGGGUCUAGGAUAGACCAUAUUCUCAGUGGUGGAGUAUGUUUACAUGAAGAUAGUGGACAGAAAGGCCAUAAUUUUGUGACUUGCCAUGUGAAAGAGUGUGACAUAAUGAGCCAAUUCAAACGAUGGAGGCCUGGGAAUUCACCUAGGUGGAAGGCCGGGAGAAGCAUCAAAUUGGAAGGUUCUGAUCAUGUCCCUGUUUAUACAAGUUUGAUGGAAAUCCCAGAUAUUGCGCAGCAUAGUACUCCCUCUUUAUCUGCUAGAUUUGUUCCCGAGGUUCGUGGCGUCCAGCAGACUAUUGUGUCAAUGAUGAUGAAAAGACAAGUAGAGAAGCAAGUUAAGACCGACGAAGUGUCAAGUUCAUUUUCAGAGGAAAAUAUGACAGUUGGGACUUGCAUUGAGAAUUUGGAAAGAUCAUCUUAUGACUUCAAUACAUCAGGCUCGCCCUCUGAAAGAAGUUGUGAUGCUUCUGGAGGUUCCUUUAGUGAGACUGCCCAUGCUAAAAUGUCUGCAUUUGAAACUGUCCGUGCUAACUCAACCCCUGGUAAAGAAAUCAGGAAAAAAGCAAGACACGGUCAAUCGUCACAACAACUCUCACUGAAGUCAUUUUUUAAGAAAAGUUUGACAUCUGCUUUUGGGCAUGACCACACUAGCACUGCGAUCAACAAUGAGCUGGGAGAUGUGGCAAAAUCUGACAAUACACCAGUUGAACCUACCAUGGAUGAGCAGGAGAGCUGUCGUCCUGAGCAGUCCCAGUUAAAUGAUUGUAUAUCCACUCAGGAUCAAGGUGAUCUAAAUGCCUGUUGUUCUUCUGAGGCGGACAAGAGUAAUGUUGCGUUAUCAGAGUGGCAAAGGAUUCGGCAACUGAUGCAGAACAGCAUGCCUUUUUGCAAGGGCCAUCAUGAACAUUGUGUUUCUCGGGUUGUGAAGAAAGAAGGCCCUAAUUUUGGCCGCAGAUUCUAUGUCUGUGCUCGUGCUGAGGGCCCAGCAUCAAAUCCUGAAUCAAAUUGCGGAUAUUUUAAGUGGGCUGCUUCCAAGCCCAGGGGCCAAAGAUGACGGCAAUUGCUGAUGAGAAGUUGGUUUUCUCAUUCAGGUUAAGGUUUUUCUCAUGAGAUGUCAGCCACCCCAUUUGCUGCCUUUUUGGACCCCAAACCUCCCCUAUUUGUUGCUGAAUGCAGUUCUUGUAAGUUAAAUCAAGAUUUUGAUGACAAGGCAGGCACAGAACCAGCAUUCUGUGCGCGCUCCAGCAUAGGAACAGGGAGAAAGUUGGGUGAAUUUCUUUGUAAUCUUCACGGUUACGUUUUUUUGUACAAUUGGUGUGAACUCACUAUAUUAUUGCUAGCCUCCUAAUCCAAUUUCAAUGUUGACCUGA